CCUACGGGUGGCAGCAGUGGGGAAUAUUGGGCAAUGGACGAGACUCUGAACCAGCCAAGCCGCGUGAAUGAUGACUGCCUUCUGGGUUGAAAACUCUUUUUAUAUGGGAGUAAAAUGUUCCACUUGCUUGAUUAUCUACGUCGCAUAUCUAUCAGGCAGCGCUAACUCUGUGCCAUCAGCCGCGGUAAUACGGAGGAACCGAGCGUUAUCCGGAGUUAGUGGGUGUAAGGGGAGCGUAGGUGGAUUGAUAAGUCAGUUGUGAAAGUUCGCGGCUCAACCGUAAAAUUGCAGUUGAAACUGGCGGUCUUGAGUACAGUAGAGGUGAGCGGAAUUCGUAGUGUAGCGGUGAAAUGCGUAGAUAUCAGGAGGAACACCAGUGGCGAAGGCAGCUCACUGGACUGCAACUGACACUGAGGCUCGAAAGUGUGGGUAUCAAACAGGAUUAGAUACCCGAGUAGUC
This 460-nucleotide ribosomal RNA is filed under the name uncultured bacterium. RNAcentral describes it as "partial 16S ribosomal RNA". It matches the Rfam family "Bacterial small subunit ribosomal RNA", at positions 338 to 795 of the family's 1533-position model. The record is from RNAcentral.